Molecule: ribosomal RNA, 301 nt
Filed under: uncultured bacterium
Lineage: Bacteria
Description: partial 16S ribosomal RNA
Rfam family: Bacterial small subunit ribosomal RNA
Source: RNAcentral
CAGCCGCCGCGGUAAUACGUAGGGUCCGAGCGUUGUCCGGAAUUAUUGGGCGUAAAGAGCUCGUAGGCGGUCUGUCGCGUCUGCCGUGAAAUCCUCAGGCUCAACCUGAGGCGUGCGGUGGGUACGGGCAGGCUAGAGUGCGGUAGGGGAGAAUGGAACUCCUGGUGUAGCGGUGGAAUGCGCAGAUAUCAGGAAGAACACCGAUGGCGAAGGCAGUUCUCUGGGCCGUAACUGACGCUGAGGAGCGAAAGCGUGGGGAGCGAACAGGAUUAGAUAUCCCAGUAGUCCCUGUCUCUUAUAU